This is a long non-coding RNA of Oreochromis aureus, 2273 nucleotides long. The record is from Ensembl. NCBI's taxonomy places the organism in Eukaryota, Metazoa, Chordata, Actinopteri, Cichliformes, Cichlidae.
AAGAUCUAAAAGAAACGACCCAUUAACGUUUGUUUUUGUAAAGUGACAAAAUGUGUAAAAGUUUUUCAAGCACACAUAACAAGAUUCCACAGAAUCCGUUUCUUUUAUUCCUACAUCUCCACCACCGUGGGAAACACCAAAGGACCUCGUGGAUAAGAUUGUAGCCUGGCACAAGGCUGGACUGGGCUACGAGACCAUCAGCAAGAAGCUUGUCAAUCACCUGAAGGAAGCUGGAGCCACAGUUAACAAAAACAUACCUGAUCAUGGAUCUCCUCAGCAGUUUGGAAAUCUACAUCCCUGCAGAGGCUGAGGUGAAAAACAUCCCUUUGUGGACCUUGCCAAAGUCUGUACUCAGAAGAAUGGGCCUCCCUCUCCUGAAUGCCUCCAGGAAUCUUGCAGACUCUCCAGAAGGCAUAUGGAUUUCUCCAGCAGUUAUACGGAAGAAAGGCCAGAGAUACACAGGAAGUGCAAUAGAUAACAUGACCUCAGUGCUGGGCAAAGAGUUGCGUGCUUCAAGGGGUCCUUUUCGAAUGUCUUUUGUUUCCUCGAACCAUGCAGCUCAUGAGGUGCUGAAGGGCACCGUUCCCAAGGCACCUCUAUGUCAAACCUCUCAAUUCCCUCCAGACUCUGCACCACGAACCGGUCGAGAUGCUGUCGUCAUCUACCGUGGGCAAGUUUACUUGUCCAUCAGGGUGCCUAGUCGUAGCCAUAGUCAGCGUGGGAAACAGACGACUUCCCAGCCUGUCACUCCUUCAACGUCCCACUUGUCUUCAAAGAAAAGGAAAAAGACGAUGCUAAGCGACAAUAAGCCCAAGAAAAAGCACAACAUAUGUGAAGUAAUGCAUACAGAAAACAAGAAGGAUGACGCACACAGGACAAGAGAUGUUCACUUUCUGCCAAAACCCAUUGAGAGUGAGUGUGAAGUUGGCAGCAAGUGUCCUGCAGAUUCUAGAGGAGAGCUGCUCUCAGAAGCCCCCCUGAAGACAGCUGGCUUUCAGCCUCACGGGGAGCCAGAGGAGGAUCUGACUGCCGAAGAAGCAGACGGCCCCCAUGAGAACAAUGACAGAAGUGGUAGUCUACAGAUGGACAUCAGGGAAGUUGACCAAAGUAGCAGGGGCAGGAUGGAUCCCCUGUGUGCAGCUGCCGCCUCCACAUCACUGCAGAUGGACUGUGACUUUAACGAGUUGGCACAAGAGGAGAAGAUCGCUCAAAUGAGAGCCAAACUUAGACAGAACGAAGCUGCUCUAAACCUGCUUUCUUAAAGUGACCUCACAUUUGUUAGCCUUUUUGUACCAAAUGUUUAGAAUAGACUUUUAUACAUUUGUCUUCUGUGAACACAUGCACAUUAAUAAAAAUGGUAUCGAUGGGCUUAUGUGUUUGGUGAUCCUUUUGUUUUAUUCGGGCGUCCAAAAACAAAGAGAUGUUGUACUAGUGUGGUGUUGUCUUCUCAUUAGGUGCAGUUUAUAGCAACGUCUUCAUUGUUUGGAUGUUUUUGAUGUGUUAGUUCUGGUCAAAAAAUCAUUUCCUUUUGAUAAAACCUUAAACCAUAACAGGGUAUGGGUUGAUUAGGUUAACCUGUAGUUUGAUAAGGUCCCAUUUACAAAGUCAACCACAUGGUUCUUUGUUAAAAUGCUUCUUUUUCCCAGAAUAUAUGAUGGGCUUUUUCCUGGUUCAGUAACUAAGACUUUUUUUUUUUUUUUUGUUAAAAUCAAGCAUCCCAAAUAUACCGUUUUGUUUUUAUGUUUAGUAUGGUAGUUUUCCUGAUCACCUUGAAACACCUCCACAGGUCAUGAGUGGGUCUUAUGUCUGUUGGAAGUGCUCCAAACCACAAACGGCAAAUAUGACUAAUCUUUGUGCAUAUGUGUUUCAUAAUGUGACUUUUAAUACUAAUUAGACCUGUGAAAAAUCAUUAUCAUUAUUAUUAUUAUUAUUAUUGUUUGGUGACCUAGUGCUGAAAUGGUUGUGGCAUGAUUGUUGUCCUUUCUACUCUGCCUUCUCACUCCAUAAAUUAUUUUUCAUACGCAAGUCUUGCACUCUGGGCCUGACAUUUCCCACUCUUCUGUCAGUGUGGAACAAGAAUGUCAGGACUUUGAAUUGUGACAUAGUGACUGUGCUCACACUCAUCUGUCUGCUCUGGUCCCUGAACGAUUCAAAAUGUUUAGCAUGAACUCAUCUAGGGUUAAAGGUUUUCAUUUCUCUGUGUUUGAAAUGCAUUUCUAUAGAUGUAUUUCUGUUUGGAAAAUAUGUUUGCAAUAAAAGCAUUCUGUACGGGG